UGGCGGACGGGUGAGUAACACGUGGGUGAUCUGCCCUGCACUUUGGGAUAAGCCUGGGAAACUGGGUCUAAUACCAGAUAGGACCAUGCUUUGGAUGGUGUGGUGGAAAGUUUUUCGGUGUGGGAUGAGCUCGCGGCCUAUCAGCUUGUUGGUGGGGUAAUGGCCUACCAAGGCGUCGACGGGUAGCCGGCCUGAGAGGGUGUACGGCCACAUUGGGACUGAGAUACGGCCCAG
This 234-nucleotide ribosomal RNA is filed under the name uncultured Actinomycetales bacterium. RNAcentral's name for it is "partial 16S ribosomal RNA". It matches the Rfam family "Bacterial small subunit ribosomal RNA", at positions 96 to 334 of the family's 1533-position model. Lineage: Bacteria; Bacillati; Actinomycetota; Actinomycetes; Actinomycetales. The record is from RNAcentral.